CAAUAGCGUAUAUUAAAGUUGUUGCGGUUAAAAAGCUCGUAGUUGGAUCUCGGCAGGCAGGGGGUGGUUCGCUCUUAGCGCUACUGCCCCAUUUGCCUGUGUGAUUGGCGGAGGUUUCGGGGUGCUCUUCGUUGAGUGACCCGGGGCACCGUCAGGUUUACUUUGAAAAAAUUAGAGUGCUCAAAGCAGGCUUUUCACGCUUGAAUAUUCGUGCAUGGAAUAAUGGAAUAGGAACUCGUUUCUAUUUUGUUGGUUUUCGGAAAUCGAGUUAAUGAUUAAUAGGGACAAUUGGGGGCAUUAGUAUUCAGACGACAGAGGUGAAAUUCUUGGACCGUCUGAAGACUAACUACUGCGAAAGCAUUUGCCAAGAGUGUUUUCAUUAA
RNAcentral lists this ribosomal RNA (383 nucleotides) under uncultured eukaryote. Its description in RNAcentral is "partial 18S ribosomal RNA". It matches the Rfam family "Eukaryotic small subunit ribosomal RNA", at positions 592 to 976 of the family's 1831-position model. The record is from RNAcentral.